UACGGAGGGAGCUAGCGUUGUUCGGAAUUACUGGGCGUAAAGCGCACGUAGGCGGCUAUUCAAGUCGGGGGUGAAAGCCCGGGGCUCAACCCCGGAACUGCCCUCGAAACUAGGUAGCUAGAAUCUUGGAGAGGUCAGUGGAAUUCCGAGUGUAGAGGUGAAAUUCGUAGAUAUUCGGAAGAACACCAGUGGCGAAGGCGACUGACUGGACAAGUAUUGACGCUGAGGUGCGAAAGCGUGGGGAGCAAACAGGG
This 254-nucleotide ribosomal RNA is filed under the name uncultured bacterium. RNAcentral's name for it is "partial 16S ribosomal RNA". It matches the Rfam family "Bacterial small subunit ribosomal RNA", at positions 524 to 777 of the family's 1533-position model. The record is from RNAcentral.